CACGUAGGGUGCGAGCGUUGUCCGGAAUCAUUGGGCGUAAAGAGCGUGUAGGCGGCCACUUAAGUCCUGCGUGAAAUCUAGCGGCUCAACCGCAAGCGGUCGUGGGAAACUGGGUGGCUAGAGUGCGGGAGAGGAGAGUGGAAUUCCUGGUGUAGCGGUGGAAUGCGCAGAUAUCAGGAAGAACACCCGUGGCGAAGGCGGCUCUCUGGAACGCAACUGACGCUGAGACGCGAAAGCGUGGGGAGCAAACAGG
This 253-nucleotide ribosomal RNA is filed under the name uncultured bacterium. RNAcentral's name for it is "partial 16S ribosomal RNA". It matches the Rfam family "Bacterial small subunit ribosomal RNA", at positions 524 to 776 of the family's 1533-position model. The record is from RNAcentral.